RNAcentral lists this microRNA precursor (115 nucleotides) under Mesocricetus auratus (golden hamster). Its description in RNAcentral is "miRNA (ENSMAUG00000004361.1)". The record is from RNAcentral. Lineage: Eukaryota; Metazoa; Chordata; Mammalia; Rodentia; Cricetidae.
UUUAUUUUUGAGGAUGCAGAUUCCCUCACUGUUGCACAUACAUAGUAAAGGAGAAAGUGCUCGGGCUGGAGAGAUGGCUCAGCCGUUAAAGGCUAGGCUCGCAACCAAAAAUGUA